GAUGAACGCUAGCGGCAGGCCUAAUACAUGCAAGUCGGACGGGAUUUGGGAGCUUGCUCCCAAUGAGAGUGGCGCACGGGUGCGUAACACGUAUGUAACCUACCUUAGUCAGGGGGAUAGCCUCUCGAAAGAGAGAUUAAGACCGCAUAAAAUCACAGUAUAGCAUUAUACAAUGAUCAAAUAUUUAUAGGACUAAGAUGGGCAUGCGGAACAUAGCUAGUUGGUGAGGUAACGGCCCACCAAGGCUACGAUGUUUA
This 257-nucleotide ribosomal RNA is filed under the name uncultured bacterium. Its description in RNAcentral is "partial 16S ribosomal RNA". It matches the Rfam family "Bacterial small subunit ribosomal RNA", at positions 28 to 285 of the family's 1533-position model. The record is from RNAcentral.